RNAcentral lists this transfer RNA (54 nucleotides) under Citrus reticulata (mandarin orange). Its description in RNAcentral is "tRNA-Ala". The record is from RNAcentral. RNAcentral also lists the same sequence under 1 other name. Lineage: Eukaryota; Viridiplantae; Streptophyta; Magnoliopsida; Sapindales; Rutaceae.
UGGAGAUAAGCGGACUCGAACCGCUGACAUCCGCCACAACUGAGCUAUAUCCCC